RNAcentral lists this transfer RNA (87 nucleotides) under bacterium. RNAcentral describes it as "tRNA-Leu". It matches the Rfam family "tRNA". From Rfam's summary of the family: Transfer RNA (tRNA) molecules are approximately 80 nucleotides in length. The record is from RNAcentral. RNAcentral also lists the same sequence under 1 other name.
GGCGGCGUGGCGGAAUUGGUAGACGCGACGGAUUCAAAAUCCGUUGUCCGCAAGGACGUGCCGGUUCGACUCCGGCCGCCGCUACCA